Molecule: ribosomal RNA, 460 nt
Filed under: uncultured bacterium
Lineage: Bacteria
Description: partial 16S ribosomal RNA
Rfam family: Bacterial small subunit ribosomal RNA
Source: RNAcentral
CCUACGGGAGGCAGCAGUGAGGAAUAUUGGUCAAUGGCCGGAAGGCUGAACCAGCCAAGUCGCGUGAGGGAAUAAGGCCCUAUGGGUCGUAAACCUCUUUUGUCAGGGAGCAAAGGCGUCCACGUGUGGACGAGAGGAGAGUACCUGCAGAAAAAGCAUCGGCUAACUCCGUGCCUGCAGCCGCGGUCAUACGGAGGAUGCGAGCGUUAUCCGGAUUUAUUGGGUUUACAGGGUGCGUAGGCGGAGUGUCAAGUCAGCGGUAAAAUUUCGGGGCUAAACCCGGUCGUGCCGUUGAUACUGGCAGGCUUGAGUGUGGGAGAGGGAAGCAGAAUGCGUGGUGUAGCGGUGAAAUGCAUAGAGAUCGGGCGGAACGCCGAUUGCGAAGGCAGCUUACCGGCGGUAAACUGACGCUGAGGCACGAAAGUGUGGGGAUCGAACAGGAUUAGAUACCCUGGUAGUC